This 468-nucleotide ribosomal RNA is filed under the name uncultured bacterium. RNAcentral's name for it is "partial 16S ribosomal RNA". It matches the Rfam family "Bacterial small subunit ribosomal RNA", at positions 28 to 507 of the family's 1533-position model. The record is from RNAcentral.
GACGAACGCUGGCGGCGUGCUUAACACAUGCAAGUCGAACGGAAAGGCCCUGCUUUUGUGGGGUGCUCGAGUGGCGAACGGGUGAGUAGCACGUGAGUAACCUGCCCUUGACUUUGGGAUAACUUCAGGAAACUGGGGCUAAUACCGGAUAGGAGCUCCUGCUGCAUGGUGGGGGUUGGAAAGUUUCGGCGGUUGGGGAUGGACUCGCGGCUUAUCAGCUUGUUGGUGGGGUAGUGGCUUACCAAGGCUUUGACGGGUAGCCGGCCUGAGAGGGUGACCGGCCACAUUGGGACUGAGAUACGGACCAGACUCCUACGGGAGGCAGCAGUGGGGAAUAUUGCACAAUGGGCGGAAGCCUGAUGCAGCAACGCCGCGUGCGGGAUGACGGCCUUCGGGUUGUAAACCGCUUUCGCAUGUGACGAAGCGUGAGUGACGGUAAUGGGUAAAGAAGCACCGGCUAACUACGUG